This 471-nucleotide ribosomal RNA is filed under the name Triticum aestivum (bread wheat). Its description in RNAcentral is "partial small subunit ribosomal RNA". The record is from RNAcentral. Lineage: Eukaryota; Viridiplantae; Streptophyta; Magnoliopsida; Poales; Poaceae.
AUGCCAAACCCUAGAGAGGUUGACAGAGCUCUUUUUGUGGAACAUGUUAGACUUAAACAAUGUGGAUUUUCCCCCUGGUCUGAAGAUAUUGAUUCUGAAGGACUUAUGGAAGUUGCCUGGGUCAGAAUUGGCAAGAUCCCACCUAACAAAAGAUCUGAUAAAGUUGUAGCCUAUGUGGGGGGACUGGUUGGAAUCACUCUGGAGGUGGAUAUGGCGACCAUUAAUCGCCCUUCCUCUGUCAGAGCAAAAAUAGGGUGCAGAUCUGUAUCCCAACUGCCUGUUACUGCGGAAGGAGUACUUGGGGGACGCUUCUAUAAAUUCACCUAUGAAAUUAAAGAGGUUCUUGUUAAAAACCCUGUUAAUGAGGAGCCUGUGGAUCCUGUUGCUGAUGACAAAGCUAAUCCUGAAUACACUCCUAAAAGGAAACGUGCUGAUCAGGAGAAAAAAGAGAGCCCACCUGAUGAACAUUGA